Molecule: transfer RNA, 82 nt
Filed under: Schistocerca americana (American grasshopper)
Lineage: Eukaryota; Metazoa; Arthropoda; Insecta; Orthoptera; Acrididae
Description: tRNA-Ser
Rfam family: tRNA
About the family: Transfer RNA (tRNA) molecules are approximately 80 nucleotides in length.
Source: RNAcentral
GACGAGGUGGCCGAGUGGUUAAGGCGUUAGACUGCUAAUCCAAUGUGCUCUGCACGCGUGGGUUCAAAUCCCAUCCUCGUCG